Molecule: unclassified non-coding RNA, 360 nt
Filed under: fungal sp.
Lineage: Eukaryota; Fungi
Description: partial internal transcribed spacer region
Rfam family: Eukaryotic small subunit ribosomal RNA (bases 1-46)
Source: RNAcentral
AAGUCGUAACAAGGUAACCGUAGGUGAACCUGCGGUUGGAUCAUUAUUAUAAAAGGAUCAGCGUGUCGGUUAACGACUUCAAAGCGCUCAAUCUUUCUCCCAGCCAAUAAAUCGCUAAAGAUGCGUUGAAACAUUCAACGUUGAUUUACAGUUUGUAGUGCUGUGGAUCCAGAAAGAAACAUCUUGUGAACCGUUCCGUCUCUGGCGAGUGGGUAGUGAAGAACUACUUGUCAGCAUUGCUUUUUGCGGUGCCGUGGACAGCUUGCCAACCCCUUCUAAACAUAUAUUUAUUUUCUUUAUGUCUGACAUUUAUUGUAUCAAUAUACAAAACAACUUUUGGCAACGGAUCUCUUGGCUCUC